GUCAGAGUUUGAUCCUGGCUCAGGAUGAACGCUAGCGGCAGGCCUAAUACAUGCAAGUCGAACGGUGUCUUCGGACAUAGUGGCGCACGGGUGCGUAACACGUAUGUAACCUACCUUACAUUGGGGGAUAGCCUUUGGAAACGGAGAUUAAUACCGCAUAAUACGAUUGACUGGCAUCGGUUGAUUGUUAAAGCUUUGGCGAUAAUAGAUGGGCAUGCGUCCAAUUAGUUAGUUGGUUAGGUAACGGCUGACCAAGACGAUGAUUGGUAGGGGAUCUGAGAGGAUAAUCCCCCACACUGGCACUGAGAUACGGGGCCAGACUCCUACGGGAGCAGCAGUAGGGAAUAUUGGUCAAUGGGCGCAAGCCUGAACCAGCCAUGCCCGCGUGCAGGAAGACGGUCCUAUGGAUUGUAAA
Molecule: ribosomal RNA, 415 nt
Filed under: uncultured Flectobacillus sp.
Lineage: Bacteria; Pseudomonadati; Bacteroidota; Cytophagia; Cytophagales; Flectobacillaceae
Description: bacterial SSU rRNA
Rfam family: Bacterial small subunit ribosomal RNA
Source: RNAcentral